Molecule: ribosomal RNA, 442 nt
Filed under: uncultured bacterium
Lineage: Bacteria
Description: bacterial SSU rRNA
Rfam family: Bacterial small subunit ribosomal RNA
Source: RNAcentral
AACGCGAAGAACCUUACCUGGGCUCGAAGCGCAGUGGAUAUGGGUGGAAACAUCCCUUUCUCGCAAGAGACUGCUGCGGAGGUGCUGCAUGGCUGUCGUCAGCUCGUGUCGUGAGAUGUUGGGUUAAGUCCCGCAACGAGCGCAACCCUUAUCGUUAGUUGCCAGCGAGUCAAGUCGGGCACUCUAGCGAAACCGCCUCGGAUAACGGGGAGGAAGGUGGGGAUGACGUCAAGUCCUCAUGGCCUUUAUGUCCAGGGCUACACACGUGUUACAAUGCGCGGCACAGACUGUUGCGAACCCGCGAGGGGGAGCUAAUCGGAAAAAACCGCGCUCAGUUCGGAUUGCAGUCUGCAACUCGACUGCAUGAAGCUGGAAUCGCUAGUAAUGGCGUAUCAGAUCGACGCCGUGAAUACGUUCCCGGGCCUUGUACACACCGGAGUGC